This is a non-coding RNA of Thamnophis sirtalis, 1404 nucleotides long. NCBI's taxonomy places the organism in Eukaryota, Metazoa, Chordata, Lepidosauria, Squamata, Natricidae. The record is from RefSeq and is a predicted model, not a curated record.
CGAACUCACCGAGCCUGCUGAUUGGGAGGCGAGAGCUCCCCCUCUAGGCCACCGUACCCCUCAAGAGAUGUAGAACCAAUGAUAAAGAUAAAAAGCAGGUUUAUCUUGGGGAAUUUGAACUCUUGAUCUUAAAUCUGUUUUAUUUUUCCCCUUCUGUCUCCUUUUCCAAUGUCUGCAGCCCACUUUGGCUUACACCCACACGGCUCGGCCCGCGUCUCCGGGGAGCUUCCCACAGCAGCCUCACACGUCCGGCUUCCAGGCGUCCCCUCAAACUGCACCCCGACACCCCUUCAUACAGCACCCGCAAGGUCAGCGUUUCUACCACAAGUGAGCCUGGAAGACCACCCAACCCACCCCCCAUCUCCCGUUGGCUGCUUCAGCGUCCUUCCCCAAGACCCACCCGCCCUCCGUGCCGGCGUGAAGAGGAAAGUUCUGUCUCGGACGAGCGACGCAUCCUUUCGAUUUCCUUCCCGCGUUUUCUCCGGGAACCUCGCGGAUUUUGCAAAACGGCGUUCUCGAAAAUGCCGACGCUUCCGUUGUCAAGGAGGGCGAGCGUGGCGUGGUUUCUUCCAAACUCCCGUUAGCCGGGUUGGAAGGGGGUUAGAGGGGGGGGGGUCGUGCGUUCAAAUCACGCUGCAGCGAACGAAGCGAAACCCAUCAAAUUUUCCGAAAGAAAAGCCGCGUUUUCUGCAACGGAGGGGAUGUAAUUCCCGAAGCGCGUUCAAAGUUGGCUUGACGCGGGGUUCAAAUUUGGUUUUUUUCCUCGCAGAGAAUUCUCGGCGGGCAAAAAUCCUCCAGAGAAAUCCCCCAACCCAACAAUUCUCAACUUCGGUUUCUUUUAAACGGGUGGGCUUCAACCCCCCCAGAAUCCCCCAGCCAGCAAACCAGUUUCGCAUUGAAUUGCCUUUAACCCGCUUAUUAAUUUAGCUUGUGGUGGGUUAUUUUUCCCCCCACUUUGCUGAAGUCAAGAUAUAUUACAUCGACUGCAUUCCCACCGUCUAUUAAGAAAGUUUAUUUAAAAUAAAAAUAAAAACUUAAUAAAAGUAGCCUAGAUACAUUUGUUGUUAAAUCUUCGCUUGGCUGGGGGAUUCUGGGAGCUGAAGUUCCGUCCCCCCCACCCACCCCCCCAGUCUUCAAAGGGACACAGUUCUUAAACACCUGUGACAUUCUUGUCAUGUACUUUGAAAGAAUUCUAUCCGAAGCCAGCUCGGUUAUACAGUAUCUUCUUCAGAUUAAAUGUUCUCUCUACUUAAUAGAUCGUCCUAAGGUUCUAGUCCUCAGGAUAUCUUCACUGCUCUUCCAUGAGCUUGUUCUGUUUUACGUCUUAAGUGGUUUUUAAAAGGUUGUCCCUGGAACUCAAACAGGUGUAACCAACUCCUGAAUAAAUUGGAAUAUUAUGCUAGA